AAAGAAACCAACAGGGAUUGCCCUAGUAACGGCGAGUGAAGCGGCAACAGCUCAAAUUGAAAGCUGGCUUAGGCCCGCAUUGUAAUUGCAGAGGAUGCUUCUGGCGAGGUGCCUUCCGAGUUCCCUGGAACGGGACGCCAUAGAGGGUGAGAGCCCUGUAUGGAUGGACACCAGACCUGUGUGAAGCUCCUUCAACGAGUCGAGUAGUUUGGGAAUGCUGCUCUAAAUGGGAGGUAAAUCUCUUCUAAAGCUAAAUACCGGCCAGAGACCGAUAGCGCACAAGUAGAGUGAUCGAAAGAUGAAAAGCACCUUGAAAAGGGGGUUAAACAGUACGUGAAAUUGUUGAAAGGGAAGCGCUUGUGACCAGACUUGCGCCGGGCAGCUCAUCAGGGGUUCUCCCCUGUGCACUCUGCCCGGCUCAGGCCAGCAUCGGUUCUCGUGGGAGGAUAAGAACGGUAGGAACGUGGCCCCCCUCCGGGGGGGUGUUAUAGCCUGCCGUACGAUACUCCCGUGGGGACCGAGGUUCGCGCUCCGCAAGGAUGCUGGCGUAAUGGUCAUCAGCGACCCGUCUUGAAACACGGACCAAGGAGUCGUCCAUUAGAGCGAGCGUUUGGGUGUAAAACCCGCACGCGUAAUGAAAGUGAACGCAGGUGAGAGCUUCGGCGCAUCAUCGACCGAUCCUGAUGUCUUCGGAUGGAUUUGAGUAAGAGUUUUAACGGACGGACCCGAAAGACAGUGAACUAUGCUUGUAUAGGGUGAAGCCAGAGGAAACUCUGGUGGAGGCUCGCAGCGGUUCUGACGUGCAAAUCGAUCGUCAAAUAUGAGCAUGGGGGCGAAAGAC
Molecule: ribosomal RNA, 841 nt
Filed under: Cytospora prunicola
Lineage: Eukaryota; Fungi; Ascomycota; Sordariomycetes; Diaporthales; Cytosporaceae
Description: partial large subunit ribosomal RNA
Rfam family: Eukaryotic large subunit ribosomal RNA
Source: RNAcentral